UACGUAGGGUGCAAGCGUUGUCCGGAAUUAUUGGGCGUAAAGAGCUCGUAGGCGGUUUGUCGCGUCUGCUGUGAAAACUCGGGGCUUAACCCCGGGCCUGCAGUGGGUACGGGCAGACUAGAGUGCGGUAGGGGAGACUGGAAUUCCUGGUGUAGCGGUGAAAUGCGCAGAUAUCAGGAAGAACACCGGUGGCGAAGGCGGCUCUCUGGGCCUUACCUGACGCUGAGGAGCGAAAGCGUGGGUAGCGAACAGG
This 253-nucleotide ribosomal RNA is filed under the name uncultured bacterium. RNAcentral describes it as "partial 16S ribosomal RNA". It matches the Rfam family "Bacterial small subunit ribosomal RNA", at positions 524 to 776 of the family's 1533-position model. The record is from RNAcentral.